UACGGAAGGCAGCAGUGGGGAAUAUUGCACAAUGGGCGCAAGCCUGAUGCAGCCAUGCCGCGUGUAUGAAAAAGGCCUUCGGGUUGUAAAGUACUUUCAGUCGUGAGGAAGGUGUUAAGGUUAAUAACCUUAGCAAUUGACGUUAGCGACAGAAGAAGCACCGGCUAACUCCGUGCCAGCAGCCGCGGUAAUACGGAGGGUGCGAGCGUUAAUCGGAAUUACUGGGCGUAAAGGGCACGCAGGCGGUUAAUUAAGUUGGAUGUGAAAUCCCCGGGCUUAACCUGGGAAUGGCAUUCAAGCUGGUUAGCUAGAGUCUUGUAGAGGGGGUAGAAUUCCAUGUGUAGCGGUGAAAUGCGUAGAGAUGUGGAGGAAUACCGGUGGCGAAGGCGGCCCCUGGACAAAGACUGACGCUCAUGUGCGAAAGCGUGGGGAGCAAACAGGGAUUAA
This 447-nucleotide ribosomal RNA is filed under the name uncultured bacterium. Its description in RNAcentral is "bacterial SSU rRNA". It matches the Rfam family "Bacterial small subunit ribosomal RNA", at positions 340 to 781 of the family's 1533-position model. The record is from RNAcentral.